AGAGUUUGGUUGCAACUGGACUAUUAAUUAAACUUGGGCAUCUGCACACCUUUCUCUUUCAUCCCAUACACACCUGUGUACCUCAGCGAUAGAUAUUUUAUGAGUGGAAAAGCAUAACAUUAGACCUUCUACUCCCCCUUGACUUCUGUCUACUUAAUUCAUAUAAACUCAAUUUAUUUUAAAACGGAUGUAAUGGAUGUAACACAUCUAAUACUAAGUUUCAACAACGGAUCUCUUGGCUCUCGCAUCGAUGAAGAACGCAGCGAAAUGCGAUAAGUAAUGUGAAUUGCAGAAUUCAGUGAAUCAUCGAAUCUUUGAACGCACCUUGCGCUCCUUGGUAUUCCUUGGAGCAUGCCUGUUUGAGUAUCAUGAAAUCUUCAAAGUCAAACCUUUUGUUAAUUCAAUUGGUUCUGCUUUGGUAUUGGAGGAUUAUUGCAGCUUCACACCUGCUCCUCUUUGUGCAUUAGCUGGAUCUCAGUGUUAUGCUUGGUUCCACUCAGCGUGAUAAGUUAUCUAUCGCUGAGGACACCCUGUUAAAAAGGGGUGGCCAAGGUAAAUGCAGAUGAACCGCUUCUAAUAGUCCAUUGACUUGGACAAUAUCUAAUUUAUGAUCUGAUCUCAAAUC
Molecule: unclassified non-coding RNA, 625 nt
Filed under: Rhizoctonia solani
Lineage: Eukaryota; Fungi; Basidiomycota; Agaricomycetes; Cantharellales; Ceratobasidiaceae
Description: sequence contains 18S rRNA gene, ITS1, 5.8S rRNA gene, ITS2
Rfam family: 5.8S ribosomal RNA (bases 216-369)
Source: RNAcentral